Molecule: ribosomal RNA, 253 nt
Filed under: uncultured bacterium
Lineage: Bacteria
Description: partial 16S ribosomal RNA
Rfam family: Bacterial small subunit ribosomal RNA
Source: RNAcentral
UACGUAGGGUGCAAGCGUUGUCCGGAAUUAUUGGGCGUAAAGAGCUCGUAGGCGGUCUGUCGCGUCGGCUGUGAAAACCCGGAGCUCAACUCCGGGCCUGCAGUCGAUACGGGCAGACUGGAGUACUGCAGGGGAGACUGGAAUUCCUGGUGUAGCGGUGAAAUGCGCAGAUAUCAGGAGGAACACCGGUGGCGAAGGCGGGUCUCUGGGCAAUAACUGACGCUGAGGAGCGAAAGCGCGGGGAGCGAACAGG